RNAcentral lists this ribosomal RNA (486 nucleotides) under uncultured bacterium. Its description in RNAcentral is "partial 16S ribosomal RNA". It matches the Rfam family "Bacterial small subunit ribosomal RNA", at positions 29 to 507 of the family's 1533-position model. The record is from RNAcentral.
AACGAACGCUGGCGGCGCGUCUUACCCAUGCAAGUCGAGCGGCAGGCCGCAAUGCCGUGGGCGGCGGACUGGUGAGUAACACGUGGAUAACGUAACCCGAUGUCCGGGACAGCCUGUUGGAAUAGAGGGUAAUACCGGAUAGAUCACUGUUUACGAGAGGUAGACAGCGGGAAAGGAGCUUCGGCUCCGCGUCGGGAACGGUCUGCGGCCCAUCAGCUGGACGGCGGGGUAAAGGCCCGCCGCGGCGAGGACGGGUAUCCGGCCUGAGAGGGCGAACGGACACACUGGGACUGAGACACGGUCCAGACUCCUACGGGAGGCAGCAGUGAAGAAUAUUCCGCAAUGGGGGGAACCCUGACGGAGCGACGCCGCGUGAGCGAAGAAGGCCGGAAGGUUGUAAAGUUCUUUUCUGGCGGAGGAAUAAGUGUCGGAGGAAAUGCCGGUACGGUGACGGUAGGGCAAGAAUAAGCACCGGCUAAUUACGUG